This 402-nucleotide ribosomal RNA is filed under the name uncultured bacterium. RNAcentral's name for it is "bacterial SSU rRNA". It matches the Rfam family "Bacterial small subunit ribosomal RNA", at positions 355 to 772 of the family's 1533-position model. The record is from RNAcentral.
UGGGGAAUAUUGCACAAUGGGCGCAAGCCUGAUGCAGCAAUGCCGCGUGAGUGAAGACGGCCUUAGGGUUGUAAAACUCUUUCGCUAGGGAAGAUAAUGACGGUACCUAGUAAAGAAGUCCCGGCUAACUCCGUGCCAGCAGCCGCGGUAAUACGGAGGGGACUAGCGUUGUUCGGAAUUACUGGGCGUAAAGAGUUCGUAGGCGGCUUGAUAAGUCAAAGGUGAAAUCCCUCGGCUCAACCGGGGAACUGCCUUUGAAACUGUCUGGCUAGAGUUCGGGAGAGGGUAGGGGUAAUUCCUAGUGUAGCGGUGAAAUGCGUAGAUAUCAGGAGGAACACCAGUGGCGAAGGCGCCUACCUGGCACCGAUACUGACGCUGAGGUGCGAAAGCGUGGGGAGCAAA